UUCACAGGCCCAGAUUCACUAACGCCUCGCAGAUACGACAAUCUUAAGUGGAUCCAAUAUGGCGGAAAUAAGAAUGUCGUAUCUUGCGAUUCACAAAAAAAUCUUAAGUCCGCCAUGUUUAGAUUUUCCUGCCUUAACGCUGUUUCACACUCCCGCCGACAGACGGCGUAGUGUGUUAUUGACAUAUGAUAUUUCGUUCAACUAAUGGCAGCGCUCGAUACAUACGUACUCAAUAGACAGUAGCCAAUCACAGGAACCUCAACACAAGUGCAGCACGUGGCCUGUGACAGAGGCAGGCGAUGUUGUCUGCCCCGCCGGGAGUACGGAGAUGAAGUGAGGAAGUUCAGGAGACUGAGUAUCACCUGUAAGUGUAAUGGGUGCUACAACACCUAGCAGCCCAUAUGUCCCAGCAGUGGUGCAGCAUCGGACCCUUAAACUUCCAGGCAGGAGACACAAGAUAAAAGAUUCUGAAGAAGCAAGACCAAGCAUAUAUUACUGGAUAGUUUGCAGAAAUGUGUAGAUUUCCUUGAAUAGUUUCAACCAGAAUGACUGCAAUAGCUGGAGCUUUUCAGGACUUUGUUGAAUAUUGCAGGGCAUGAAAUUCUGUAUUUCUUAUGCAUCAUUAAAGGUCUCUUUU
Long non-coding RNA from Eriocheir sinensis (Chinese mitten crab), 637 nucleotides. RefSeq lists it as uncharacterized. The record is from RefSeq and is a predicted model, not a curated record. NCBI's taxonomy places the organism in Eukaryota, Metazoa, Arthropoda, Malacostraca, Decapoda, Varunidae. The transcript is spliced from 2 exons.